Molecule: ribosomal RNA, 264 nt
Filed under: uncultured bacterium
Lineage: Bacteria
Description: partial 16S ribosomal RNA
Rfam family: Bacterial small subunit ribosomal RNA
Source: RNAcentral
CGGCUCACCAAGGCGACGAUACAUAGCCGACCUGAGAGGGUGAGUCGGCCACACGUGGGACUGAGACGACCGGCCCAGACUCCGUACGGGGAGGCAGCAGGUAAGGGAAUUCGUUCGGACAAGUGGGGGGAACCCUGACCGAGCAACGCCGCGUGAGUGAAGAAGGUUUUCGGAUCGUAAAGCUCUGUUGUAAGAGAAGAACGGGUGUGAGAGUGGAAAGUUCACACUGUGACGGUAUCUUACCAGAAAGGGACGGCUAACUAC